CAAGCUCAUGUUGGGGCCCAACCCAACUCGUAAGGACCUCCUAGGCUGGCUGCUCAGCCACGGUGUACCCCGGGAGCAAGUAGACAGACAGCCCACCAAGGUACUCCUAGAACUCUACAUCAAAGAAGCCAAGCGCAGUCGCGGCCACCCCAACUAUGGGCUGAACGAGGAGCAGCCCCCACCACCCCCUUACUCCGACCAGGCCUGUGGGGAAGAGCAACCGGUGCGUCAUGACUAAGUCCUGGACUGACGUCAAGAGGACACUUACACCCCAGGGUCGAAGGUGGGAAAGUGAAUUGCAGAGAGGCUGUCUGUAACCCAGGUGACUAGGAAGCAGCUUGGGGAGCGCCCAAGUGGACAUUCCCAUCCUAUAGCACUUAAUGCCAAGCUCGGUGGCCCCAAAGAGAAGUGUGCAUGUUCCUAGCCACACCAUCCAUAUGGAAAGUGAGCCACAGGUGGCUAUUGGUUGUGAAUCUAGGGUGCUUAUGGCCCUAGAAUUAAUCCCCCUGAGUUGAAGCUUAAGGCCAUGCUAAGAUGUGUGGCCACAUCAGGGUCCCCACCCCUCUGCCUCCACAUGGACCCCAAAGCACUACAUACAGGCCAUCUUGAAUUUUUUACUUUUUCAAUGCAACACUUACAUAGUAUUUUAGGUAUAGGCCGUACUUCCAUGGCCUUUUACUGGAUGUUUGACACUUUAGGGCCAGUCUCCCUAGUGUAAAGGCUUAACAUUGCAAACUUUUCUAAUGCAGCAUUUUUACUUUAUAUUUUAUUUUGAGCUUAUGUGACACUUUGGUUUUGGGGAGAGGAGAACCCCCUUUUGUAAAGAUUUUGCUUUGGGGACCUUGUCCCCGUUUUCUUUUAACCAUGCCCUUCCCUUUUGAAGCACCUUCCAGCCGGGUCUGGUCUCCCUGGCUGCACAGAUGGCCCCUGGCCAAUGCAGAUCUGGAUUUAGUGGAGGGGUGAGGUGGGCAGCCCUGGAACUUCUGCCUUCGUGAGUUUCUAUUAAAUGGCUGGUUCAUUGCCC
RNAcentral lists this long non-coding RNA (1024 nucleotides) under Mus musculus (house mouse). RNAcentral's name for it is "long non-coding RNA chr7:44251289-44252313". The record is from RNAcentral. Lineage: Eukaryota; Metazoa; Chordata; Mammalia; Rodentia; Muridae.